RNAcentral lists this ribosomal RNA (1017 nucleotides) under Cytobacillus firmus. Its description in RNAcentral is "bacterial SSU rRNA". It matches the Rfam family "Bacterial small subunit ribosomal RNA", at positions 56 to 1053 of the family's 1533-position model. The record is from RNAcentral. Lineage: Bacteria; Bacillati; Bacillota; Bacilli; Caryophanales; Bacillaceae.
UGCAAGUCGAGCGGACGGAUGGGAGCUUGCUCCCAGACCGUCAGCGGCGGACGGGUGAGUAACACGUGGGCAACCUGCCUGUAAGACUGGGAUAACUCCGGGAAACCGGGGCUAAUACCGGAUAAUUCUUUCCCUCACAUGAGGGAAAGCUGAAAGAUGGCAUCUCGCUAUCACUUACAGAUGGGCCCGCGGCGCAUUAGCUAGUUGGUGAGGUAACGGCUCACCAAGGCCACGAUGCGUAGCCGACCUGAGAGGGUGAUCGGCCACACUGGGACUGAGACACGGCCCAGACUCCUACGGGAGGCAGCAGUAGGGAAUCUUCCGCAAUGGACGAAAGUCUGACGGAGCAACGCCGCGUGAGUGAUGAAGGUUUUCGGAUCGUAAAACUCUGUUGUCAGGGAAGAACAAGUACCGGAGUAACUGCCGGUACCUUGACGGUACCUGACCAGAAAGCCACGGCUAACUACGUGCCAGCAGCCGCGGUAAUACGUAGGUGGCAAGCGUUGUCCGGAAUUAUUGGGCGUAAAGCGCGCGCAGGCGGUUCCUUAAGUCUGAUGUGAAAGCCCCCGGCUCAACCGGGGAGGGUCAUUGGAAACUGGGGAACUUGAGUGCAGAAGAGAAGAGUGGAAUUCCACGUGUAGCGGUGAAAUGCGUAGAGAUGUGGAGGAACACCAGUGGCGAAGGCGACUCUUUGGUCUGUAACUGACGCUGAGGCGCGAAAGCGUGGGGAGCAAACAGGAUUAGAUACCCUGGUAGUCCACGCCGUAAACGAUGAGUGCUAAGUGUUAGAGGGUUUCCGCCCUUUAGUGCUGCAGCAAACGCAUUAAGCACUCCGCCUGGGGAGUACGGCCGCAAGGCUGAAACUCAAGGAAUUGACGGGGGCCCGCACAAGCGGUGGAGCAUGUGGUUUAUUUCGAAGCAACGCGAAGAACCUUACCAGGUCUUGACAUCUCCUGACACCCUAGAGAUAGGGCGUUCCCCUUCGGGGACAGGGAUGACAGGUGGUGCAUGGUUGUC